AAGAAGAAGAAGAAGAAGCAGAACCAGUCGAAAAAGGGCAAGAACCCUAUUAAGAAGACCGGUUUACCACAAAAUUCUGACAAAUUAAAGGAAGAGUUCCACAUGCAUGCUCCAUCUAAGUUCUUAAUUCUCUGUUUGAAAAACAUUCAGGAUGACCUUCAGCAGGAUGGAGCCUUCAGUGGUAGAGAGGAAAAGCCUUUCUUCAUCCAUACAUGGGGAAUUGAAUUCUGGAAAUAUUUUACCAGUGGCAAAGAUAUUAUUGGUACAAAUCAAGCCCAUGCUACAACUGAGCAAAUUGCUUGGGUUGCAGCAACAACUGCUGAUGCCAUAUCAAGAAAGGAGAAAGAAGGUCUAUCAAUUAGCAACCCCUACCUUUUAUUCCUUGUUCCCUCCCAAGAGAAAGCUGUCA
RNAcentral lists this unclassified non-coding RNA (409 nucleotides) under Hevea brasiliensis (rubber tree). Lineage: Eukaryota; Viridiplantae; Streptophyta; Magnoliopsida; Malpighiales; Euphorbiaceae. The record is from RNAcentral.